AAGUACAAGGCUCUAUGAAGAGUGAAAAAGAGUGUGGGGAAUACCAAAUCGCGAUUACAGAGCUUGAUUUUAUCGAAAAAACCAGAGAGGGCAGAGUCAUCAUUUUGAGGAGAUUCCGGUACUCGGAAAACGUCAUCCCAGGUGAAGCUAUUGCCGGCGGAAAUGGAAAAUGAACGCAAUUGUCGCCGGCGCCGGGAAGGGCAAAAUGGGGAUUUAAGGCUCAAAAUGGUAGGGGCAAUUG
RNAcentral lists this unclassified non-coding RNA (241 nucleotides) under Hevea brasiliensis (rubber tree). Lineage: Eukaryota; Viridiplantae; Streptophyta; Magnoliopsida; Malpighiales; Euphorbiaceae. The record is from RNAcentral.